Molecule: long non-coding RNA, 1831 nt
Filed under: Olea europaea subsp. europaea
Lineage: Eukaryota; Viridiplantae; Streptophyta; Magnoliopsida; Lamiales; Oleaceae
Source: RNAcentral
CAAUUACCAAACGAAUCGAAGCAGUGCAGACAAGGAGAAGCAAGACGCGCCGCUGCCGGUCAUUCUCCACCUUUCCUAGCUCGAUUUUCGAAGCUGGUCGUCCGCUACAGACUCGAACUCUUGGAUGGACCUCUUGUAGCUACUGGCUGUGACUUUGUGAAUUGUGGUGAGCACCUUUUUCCUUCUAUCGUUCUCGUUCUCGUUUUUUGUUUUUUGUUUUUUUAAUUUUCGUUCUAUGACAAAGAAAUGAGAAUUGUGAAUUUGUGAUUUAUAAUAAAUAAUUUAUGUUGUAUGAGUUAUGAGUUAUAAUUUAUCAUUUAAAAGUUUUGAUUUUGAUUUGGAAAUUUAGGUUUAGGAAAUUAGGAGUAUGUGAAAAAAAUUAAUGGAGAAGAUGAUGGGCUCAAUUGAACCAUGUGUAUUAAACUUUAUUUUUAUAUGUAAAAAAUAUUCGUGUUAGUGCAUUUACAUAUUUGUUGAAGAAUUUUUAAUAUUAUUUAUGAAAUAUUAAUAAACGACAUAGUUACUACGAUCGUUGAUUGUUUCCGGUCAACGGUCAACCACCCUAGCUGACCUCCGAUCUUGAAUUCGCCAGUUAAAAAAAAAAAAGAAGCUUUUUUACAUGAAGGCUUAAGUACCUUUUAGAGGUUUGGUGCUAACAACUAGUUAGCAUGAAAGAAUGGAUUAAUAAAUUUCUCCAUUUCACUCAGUUACUCAGUUAGUACCCUUCAUUGGUGGUUGGAAAGUGAUCUUUGUGUUAGUUGGGGUAGAAUUUGAAAGGCUGGUCAGGUUCUACCCUUCCAAACAAACAAGGUCGAUUAGGUGACUGAGGGCCUUUAUUGAGAGUCGUGACAAUGAAAAGAUGUUGCAACAAUUAAAUGAAUCCCAAGAUCAGCUAUGAGCUUGUAUGACCAAAUCACUUUACUCGUGGCUAUAGACAUUGCCCAGUAUAUACUAUGUCUCUGCACUGAACUUGAGUUAUAAUUGAAGUGUUCAAUCUACUUAAUUUACAUCUUCCAGUAAAUUUAGUCAAUCGAUUGUAAUAAAAUAAUAAUAAUAAUAAUGUGCAUAUCCAUUUUAAUAUUGUAUUAAGAAACAAAGUACAUAAUAUGCUAUCUUAGGCAUUCUGCAAACUGUUUAGAGUAAAAGAUUAUGCAAUUUUUGUUUUUAUUUUCAGUUAAGUAUCGCUUGCAUUUAUAUUGAUUAUACACUUUGUUUCAUUUUCAAUCUAAAUUAUACACAUUCUUUGAACAAGUGGCAAUCAAAGGGAUCUACUUGUUAUUUGACUAUAUGUGUUACGCCUCACUACUAAGGCUCCACGUGAACGAUCCACUGAACCUCUUGCGAUGAAGCCACGUUGAACAUUGGAGUUUGGAGUCUGUAGAUCUGAAGCGUCGAAGCAGUCCCAUGCUAAAGCAAAGCCCCGAAGCUAUAUGCUACAUUCGAGGCUCAAGCGCAUCUACCUAGUGAAGUGAUGGAGCUCAACAAAAGUUAAAAUUGAAACUCAACCACAGUAAGUGACAACCUACACGUGAAGAUCUUGAAUUUAUGAAUGAGAUCUCUUUCGAAAGAUUGAUGGAACAUUUCUAAUGAGUGGAAUGUCAAGUUUUUUCAAUUUAAGUUGAAGGUGGCUUAUCCCUGCAAGAGCAUUAAAUGCGCCAUAGGCUAUCGAGUUCAAAUGAAUGUCUAGAAUUAGUGCUUCGAUUAAGGAGAUGAGCCCACGUGUAUCUUCAUCCAAUGGACACUAUUUAAUAUGUAGCAUUAUAAAUACCCCUCCUUGUAUCAUUUGAAGACUAAUGCAACUCUAAGAUACUUAAAGUGAUUAUUUAUCUUC